GAUGAAUGGUGGAGCCCAGGCCAGUAAAGCCCUGAGCUCCACAGUGGCUGGCCUGGGUCCUAGGGAUGCCAACGUUGGGCAUGGUGUGGUUCCUAUCCUGCACCCCACUCUUAUGCCUAGCACCCUAUUCCCUGAAAUGAAGCAAGGCCUGGGCUCUCCAUGGGCAGUCGUCACAUUUGGAGCAGCCCUUCCCCCCAGGACACAAACUUAUAAAACACAAAAGCUGGGGUCCCCACAGACCGCAUCAUCCAAGGCGGGGACAGUACACAGAGCACAAAUCUCAAAUCGGAAGUCCUCUGAAUCAGCCUUCCUGAUGGGAUGGAGACUCACGCUGAGAAGACCUGAAGAUGACAUACAGCAUCGACCUGUCAGGCAGCCAGCUCCCAGAAACUAGCCCCCGAAGCCCAGCGAGAAGUGCUCUGUGGCUCUGGGCAUCUGUGCCCAGGAGGACCAUGCGUUGUGGUGUCUGCUGCCAGCAGACAAGCAUCUAAGAGACUGUGCCCUGAUUACUAGCUAUCAAAUUGUGUUUUUUGGAAAAUUGGCCUGUGAAUCAGGCUGUUCCUCUGCUGACUUGCAAAGAGGUUCCUCUACAUAAGGCUUAUAGGCUCCAACCAGUACUUGCAAAA
This 626-nucleotide long non-coding RNA is filed under the name Mus pahari (shrew mouse). Its description in RNAcentral is "predicted gene 28499 (MGP_PahariEiJ_G0033038.1)". Lineage: Eukaryota; Metazoa; Chordata; Mammalia; Rodentia; Muridae. The record is from RNAcentral.